Molecule: transfer RNA, 60 nt
Filed under: Rattus norvegicus (Norway rat)
Lineage: Eukaryota; Metazoa; Chordata; Mammalia; Rodentia; Muridae
Rfam family: tRNA
About the family: Transfer RNA (tRNA) molecules are approximately 80 nucleotides in length. Their secondary structure includes four short double-helical elements and three loops (D, anti-codon, and T loops).
Source: Rfam by way of RNAcentral
GGGGAUUUAGCUCAGUGGUAGAGCACUUGCGCAAGCGCAAGGCCCUGGGUUCAGUCCCCA